UCCGAGUUGACCCCGGCAGUCUCCUUUGAGUUCCCACCAUUACGUGCUGGCAACAAAGAACGAGGGUUGCGCUCGUUGCGGGACUUAACCCAACAUCUCACGACACGAGCUGACGACAGCCAUGCAGCACCUGUGUUCCCGUUCCCUUUCGGGCACACCCCCAUCUCUGGAGGCUCUCGGACAUGUCAAGGGUAGGUAAGGUUUUUCGCGUCGCAUCGAAUUAAUCCACAUAAUCCACCGCUUGUGCGGGUCCCCGUCAAUUCCUUUGAGUUUUAACCUUGCGGCCGUACUCCCCAGGCGGUCGACUUCACGCGUUAGCUCCGUUACCAAGGAAUUGCUUCCCCGACAACCAGUUGACAUCGUUUAGGGCGUGGACUAC
This 379-nucleotide unclassified non-coding RNA is filed under the name uncultured Gammaproteobacteria bacterium. RNAcentral describes it as "contains 16S-23S intergenic spacer region". Lineage: Bacteria; Pseudomonadati; Pseudomonadota; Gammaproteobacteria. The record is from RNAcentral.